UCGCGCGCAUCCGCCUGGUCUUUCAACCCCAACAAUAGGCCCUCUCUUUGGGGCCUUGCCGGAGGUUUUGAGGACCAGAACUCAAGCUCUCUCCACUCACCUUAAGGCUCACAUCUCCACUUUAAGCAUCUAUACUCCUCCUUGUGGUCACCGCUUCCGCCGAGUGACCGAGCUAUGACUGCGACUCCACGCUUUCACACCCCUCGUAAGUCCUAAUCUAUGGGACCAUCAGGUGUGGCA
Molecule: ribosomal RNA, 240 nt
Filed under: uncultured bacterium
Lineage: Bacteria
Description: partial 16S ribosomal RNA
Source: RNAcentral